This 230-nucleotide ribosomal RNA is filed under the name uncultured bacterium. RNAcentral describes it as "partial 16S ribosomal RNA". It matches the Rfam family "Bacterial small subunit ribosomal RNA", at positions 562 to 791 of the family's 1533-position model. The record is from RNAcentral.
AAAGCGUGCGCAGGCGGUUAUGUAAGACAGAUGUGAAAUCCCCGGGCUCAACCUGGGAACUGCAUUAGUGACUGCAUAGCUGGAGUACGGCAGAGGGGGAUGGAAUUCCGCGUGUAGCAGUGAAAUGCGUAGAUAUGCGGAGGAACACCGAUGGCGAAGGCAAUCCCCUGGACCUGUACUGACGCUCAUGCACGAAAGCGUGGGGAGCAAACAGGAUUAGAUACCCCAGU